UAUUAUUAGUAUAAAUAAUGAUUGGGGACUACGAGCAAUGGCUUAAAAACCCAAGAUUUUGGCGGUGUUUUAUUCAAUCAGGGGAAUCUGUCUUAUAAUCGAUAACCCACGAAAAAAUAACCUUAUCCUUGAAAGCAACAGUUUGUGUACUGCCGUCCAAUGGGACCUUAAGGUUACCCGUAAUAAAUUACUAUAAAUUUUACGUCAGGUCAAAGUGCAGCUAACGGAAAGGAAAAGAUGGAUUACAAUCUAUAUCAUAGAUGGAGUUAUAAUAUAAAAUUAUAAUGAAAAAGAACUUGAUAGUAAUUUUAUUAACAAAAUAAAAUGAAUAAAGAACUUAAAACAAGCACACAU
Molecule: ribosomal RNA, 354 nt
Filed under: Erpobdella japonica
Lineage: Eukaryota; Metazoa; Annelida; Clitellata; Hirudinida; Erpobdellidae
Description: partial 12S ribosomal RNA
Source: RNAcentral